CUUUACGGCCACACCGCCCUGGACACGCCUAAUCUCGUGUGAUCUUGGAAGCUAUGGAGGGCCUGGCCUGGUCAGUACUUGGAUGGGAGACCGCCUGGGAAUACCAGGUGCUAGAAACU
RNAcentral lists this ribosomal RNA (119 nucleotides) under Oryzias javanicus (javanese ricefish). Lineage: Eukaryota; Metazoa; Chordata; Actinopteri; Beloniformes; Adrianichthyidae. The record is from RNAcentral.